AACGCUAGCUACAGGCUUAACACAUGCAAGUCGAGGGGCAGCAUGGUCUUAGCUUGCUAAGGCCGAUGGCGACCGGCGCACGGGUGAGUAACACGUAUCCAACCUGCCGUCUACUCUUGGACAGCCUUCUGAAAGGAAGAUUAAUACAAGAUGGCAUCAUGAGUCCGCAUGUUCACAUGAUUAAAGGUAUUCCGGUAGACGAUGGGGAUGCGUUCCAUUAGAUAGUAGGCGGGGUAACGGCCCACCUAGUCUUCGAUGGAUAGGGGUUCUGAGAGGAAGGUCCCCCACAUUGGAACUGAGGCACGGUCCAAACUCCUACGGGAGGCAGCAGUGAGGAAUAUUGGUCAAUGGGCGCAGGCCUGAACCAGCCAAGUAGCGUGAAGGAUGACUGCCCUAUGGGUUGUAAACUUCUUUUAUAAAGGAAUAAAGUCGGGUAUGUAUACCCGUUUGCAUGUACUUUAUGAAUAAGGAUCGGCUAACUCCGUGCCAGCAGCCGCGGUAAUACGGAGGAUCCGAGCGUUAUCCGGAUUUAUUGGGUUUAAAGGGAGCGUAGAUGGAUGUUUAAGUCAGUUGUGAAAGUUUGCGGCUCAACCGUAAAAUUGCAGUUGAUACUGGAUAUCUUGAGUGCAGUUGAGGCAGGCGGAAUUCGUGGUGUAGCGGUGAAAUGCUUAGAUAUCACGAAGAACUCCGAUUG
RNAcentral lists this ribosomal RNA (694 nucleotides) under uncultured bacterium. RNAcentral's name for it is "bacterial SSU rRNA". It matches the Rfam family "Bacterial small subunit ribosomal RNA", at positions 32 to 715 of the family's 1533-position model. The record is from RNAcentral.